GAACCAUAGCUCAGUGGUAGACCACCUGCUUUUCCUGCAGAAGGACCUGGGUUCUAUCCCCAACAUCUUCA
Non-coding RNA from Podarcis lilfordi (Lilford's wall lizard), 71 nucleotides. Lineage: Eukaryota; Metazoa; Chordata; Lepidosauria; Squamata; Lacertidae. The record is from the annotation of a GenBank genome assembly.